GACGAACGCUGGCGGCGUGCCUAAUACAUGCAAGUCGAACGCAGUGGGGACGGGUGAGUAACACGUGGGUAACCUCCCAUCAGAGGGGAUAACACUUGGAAACAGGUGCUAAACCGAUACUGAUGGAUGGACCCGCGGUGCAUUAGCUAGUUGGUGAGGUAACGGCUCACCAAGGCCACGAUGCAUAGCCGACCGGAGAGGGUGAGGGGGCAAACAGGGAGUGAGACACGGCCCAGACUCCUAGGGGAGGAAGCAGUAGGUAAGCUUCGGCAAUGGACGAAAGUCUGACCGAGGAACGCCGCGUGAGUGAAGAAGGGUUGCGGAGCGGAAAACUCUGUUGGUAGAGAAGCGGUAUCUAACCAGAAAGCCACGGCUAACUACGUGCCAGCAGCCGCGGUAAUAC
Molecule: ribosomal RNA, 403 nt
Filed under: uncultured bacterium
Lineage: Bacteria
Description: partial 16S ribosomal RNA
Rfam family: Bacterial small subunit ribosomal RNA
Source: RNAcentral